Gambusia affinis (western mosquitofish) is the source of this 532-nucleotide non-coding RNA. The record is from the annotation of a RefSeq genome assembly. Lineage: Eukaryota; Metazoa; Chordata; Actinopteri; Cyprinodontiformes; Poeciliidae.
GCUGCCAGCUCUGUUUCUGCUCACUCCUCAGAUAAUGGCUCCUCUGUUGUUCUCAGUGCUGCUGGCUGCUUUCAGCCUCGAAUGCAGAGCGCAGACCGACAGCGUGCUGCAACCAGAGAGAGACGUGAUGGCUGUAGAAGGAGGCAGUGCAACACUGAAGUGUCUCUAUAACACCAGUGCAUCCAACCACUACCUCUACUGGUACAGACUGGAGGGAGGCAGCAGCCCUACGUUCAUCCUGAGUCGCUUCAAGAUUGGAGACGGGAAAACGACAGAGAAGAGAUUUUCCUCCAGCCUGGACGCCACUGCAAGAUCGGUUCCUCUGACGAUCCAGGAUCUCCGUCCGUCAGACUCUGCUGUGUACUACUGCGCUCUGCAGCCCACAGUGACAGGAAACACCAGAACCCUGUACAAAAACCUGCAGUACUCCACAGCAGCCACUAGAGGGCCUCACUCCCUGUUAAACCAUUAAAACCUGCAGUACUCCACAGCAGCCACCAGAGGGCCUCACUCUCUGUGUUUGGUUGAAUUC